This 253-nucleotide ribosomal RNA is filed under the name uncultured bacterium. Its description in RNAcentral is "partial 16S ribosomal RNA". It matches the Rfam family "Bacterial small subunit ribosomal RNA", at positions 524 to 776 of the family's 1533-position model. The record is from RNAcentral.
UACGUAGGGUUCAAGCGUUAAUCGGAAUUACUGGGCGUAAAGCGUGCGCAGGCGUUUUUGUAAGUCUGUCGUGAAAGCCCCGGGCUCAACCUGGGAAUUGCGAUGGAGACUGCAAGGCUUGAAUCUGGCAGAGGGGGGUAGAAUUCCACGUGUAGCAGUGAAAUGCGUAGAGAUGUGGAGGAACACCGAUGGCGAAGGCAGCCCCCUGGGUCAAGAUUGACGCUCAUGCACGAAAGCGUGGGGAGCAAACAGG